Molecule: ribosomal RNA, 531 nt
Organism: Hespellia stercorisuis DSM 15480
Lineage: Bacteria; Bacillati; Bacillota; Clostridia; Lachnospirales; Lachnospiraceae
Rfam family: Bacterial large subunit ribosomal RNA
Source: Rfam
CAACGCAAGUUGGUCGCAGAGAAUUGGUCCAAGCAACUGUUUAGCAAAAACACAGCUCUAUGCAAAACCGAAAGGUGAAGUAUAUGGGGUGACGCCUGCCCGGUGCUGGAAGGUUAAGGGGAGAGGUUAGCGCAAGCGAAGCUUUGAACUUAAGCCCCAGUAAACGGCGGCCGUAACUAUAACGGUCCUAAGGUAGCGAAAUUCCUUGUCGGGUAAGUUCCGACCCGCACGAAAGGCGUAAUGAUUUGGACACUGUCUCAACAAUGCACCCGGUGAAAUUGAAAUACCAGUGAAGAUGCUGGUUACCUGCGCCAGGACGGAAAGACCCCAUGGAGCUUUACUCUAGCUUGAUACUGGGAUUCGAUAUUGCAUGUACAGGAUAGGUGGGAGACUAGGAAUCUAUGACGCCAGUCAUAGAGGAGUCGCUGUUGGGAUACCACCCUUGUAGUAUUGGAUUUCUAACCAUCAGCCGUGAUCCGGCUGGGGGACAAUGUCAGGUGGGGAGUUUGACUGGGGCGGUCGCCUCCGAAA